GAUGAACGCUAGCGAUAGGCCUAACACAUGCAAGUCGAGGGGCAUCACAUGAAGUAGCAAUACGGAUGGUGGCGACCGGCGCACGGGUGAGUAACACGUAUGCAACCUGCCUUCAACAAGGGGAUAACCCGUUGAAAGACGGACUAAUACCCUAUAACACAGGGGUCCCGCAUGGGGAUAUUUGUUAAAGGACAACCGGUUGAAGAUGGGCAUGCGUUCCAUUAGCUAGUUGGCGGGGUAAGGGCCCACCAAGGCAACGAUGGAUAGGGGAACUGAGAGGUUUAUCCCCCACACUGGUACUGAGACACGGACCAGACUCCUACGGGAGGCAGCAGUGAGGAAUAUUGGUCAAUGGACGCAAGUCUGAACCAGCCACGUCGCGUGAAGGAAGACGGCCCUACGGUUGUAAACUUCUUUUGCAAGGGAAUAAAGUGGGCCACGUGUGGCCUUUUGCAAGUACCUUGCGAAUAAGGUCGGCUAACUCCGUG
RNAcentral lists this ribosomal RNA (488 nucleotides) under uncultured bacterium. RNAcentral's name for it is "bacterial SSU rRNA". It matches the Rfam family "Bacterial small subunit ribosomal RNA", at positions 28 to 507 of the family's 1533-position model. The record is from RNAcentral.